RNAcentral lists this ribosomal RNA (2133 nucleotides) under Triticum aestivum (bread wheat). RNAcentral describes it as "partial small subunit ribosomal RNA". The record is from RNAcentral. Lineage: Eukaryota; Viridiplantae; Streptophyta; Magnoliopsida; Poales; Poaceae.
AUGGCGUCUCUCCUGCUCGCCGGUGGUGCAGCAGGUGCACGCCGCUCGGAAUUCAUGGUGGCCGGACUCCGGGCAUUUGCAGGGGCAUUUUCUCAAUCAAGUUCCCGGAUGGAUGAUGUGAACCAAUCUCCAAGAGUAGGAAUAAACACAAAUGUGGAGCAUCCUACUGUCACAAGCAUCAAGCUGGAUGAUGUGAACCAGUCUCCAAGAGGAGGAAUAAACACAAAUGUGGAGCAACCUACUGUCACAAGCAUCAAGCUGGAUGAUGUGAACCAGUCUCCAAGAGGAGGAAUAAACACAAAUGUGGAGCAACCUACUGUCACAAGCAUCAAGCUGGAUGAUGUGAACCAGUCUCCAAGAGGAGGAAUAAACACAAAUGUGGAGCAACCUACUGUCACAAGCAUCAAGCUGGAUGAUGUGAACCAGUCUCCAAGAGGAGGAAUAAACACAAAUGUGGAGCAACCUACUGUCACAAGCAUCAAGGAAAGCAUGGGGAACUCACAGAGAGCUUCCACUCCACACCCAUCAGAUCUGCUUAAAUUUACAAAGCUUAAAACUGAUACGGAAACAAAUCCUUUCUCAAUCGGGUUUGGCAAUGCUGCUUCGGGCGACGUGCAAAAGUUUCUGGAUAUAUUGCAUGCUGACGAGGAGUUCUACAAGGAGAGUAUCGAGGAGAAUGUACUCAAGGAGAUGUAUUUCAGUGUGGUGAGGCCUGCACUUAUUCCCAGAUGUCUGAUUUUCCCCUAUGAAAUUGGGAAUAAACAUGCUCCGGGUCUGCAUGAGGCCUACAAAACGAUCACCAAACGAGAGGAGCCACUCUACAUUAGCUCUCGGGAUCUCAUGAUCACCUUGAGCUCUAUGGCAAACGAGCACUGGGUUCAUUUACUGAACUUCUUCAGUGACCAGCGUGUUCUUGUCAUUGAAGAUUGGUGUAACUCGUACGGAACAUUGUUCGGAGCUGGGCGCUACGAUCAUGGCUUCAACUGCGCCCCCACCGGUGAAAUGUGCUUUAAGGGCGAGUGUGAUGCAUCAGUGAAGGGUGGAAUGGCAAGAAUCUGUUGUAUCAUUUGGAGAGGAAACCAAAUUGUUGCUUGCCAAGUCCUUACUGAUAUUCCUUGUCAGGUUAAAAAAGAUGACCGGAAGGGCAAAUCUGCCUCAGCCAGGGCUGAAGCACUCGCUAUGUUCUAUUUAUUGAAAUUGGCUAUUUCAUUGGGAAUUGACAAGUUGCAAGUCAGCACUGACAAUCGCACGGUAGAUGAGGUGCUGCGAGGAACCCAUGAAAUCUCUGAGGAAAAUGACUGCAAGAGGAUUUAUGAAGUAUUGAGGGCGGCAUCUCUUGAAAGGAUUGAGGAAAUGUGCUAUCUGGAAGUUGAUGAAGGCAGCAAAUUGGACACCAUCUGUCACAUGACUGUGGCACUUCACCCAAAGGAGUUUUUCAUCGCUGUUCAUGAGCUUGGUUCCACGUAUGAUCUCGUUGAUCGUCUGAAAGAGAUAUAUGAGGACUGUGAUGUUGCGGUGACACCAUUUGAUGAGUACUCAGUGAUCUCUUUUUCACUGGCUCAUAGGCCAGAUGGUAUGCAGUCACAAAACCCUUUGACAAUAAUCUUUGAUCGUACUGUUCCAGCAGAGGCCAUCAAUCAAGGUGCUCUUAAUGUGCUGCUCUAUAAACCUGAUGGGCGUCAAAAUCAGAACAUCCCAGAAUAUAGCCCCAUCAGCUUUGCGUCACUUCACAAAGGGUGUGCAGUUAUUCCUGGGUUAAAUAAAGCUGCUCAUAGCGGCACAUUGCUCAAUACAAAGAGGCUUGAUGAUGAUACAGAGAAUCUUGCUCAUGAGCGUGCGCCGUCAUACUUGAAGGACAGCAUUAUGCAGGCUCGAAUGGACAAGAAUCUCACAGAGGCGCAGCUUGCAGCGUUGAUCGAGGUUCCCCCGCACGUCAUCAAGGAGUAUGAGUCAGGCAAGGCUACGCCAGACCAACAGAUCAUCAGCAAGCUGGAAACGGCUCUGCUUCUCCUUACCAUGUAUGCGCGCUUACCACAUGAGCAGCAGCCACAUUGGUCUACUUUUGCCGUGGAUGGUGUCUGGCUAUCUACUUGUUGUGACUUAACUGAAGUUAAUUUUCUGAACUUCUCGUGA